This is a long non-coding RNA of Trematomus bernacchii (emerald rockcod), 463 nucleotides long. RefSeq lists it as uncharacterized. The record is from RefSeq and is a predicted model, not a curated record. NCBI's taxonomy places the organism in Eukaryota, Metazoa, Chordata, Actinopteri, Perciformes, Nototheniidae. The transcript is spliced from 3 exons.
AGAGGCGAAGAGGAGGCAGCCAAAGGAGCAGCUCUCCUCUCCUCUCCCUCCUCAUCUUCAUCCCAGAGAAGACAGAUGAAGAAGACCUCACUCCUCCUCCUCCUCCUCCUCCGUUCAUCCCGGCAACUCAAUUUUUUUUUCUUUUUCCCACAAGUUCAAACCAAGACGUCUGCUGUGAGGUCAAGAGAACAUGACGUGCCCUGAAGCUCUCGCAGGGACUGAAGACUGAACACAGAGGAUCCUUCAGGAGUCGAUGCGGAGACGUGAACCAACAACCACCGACAUGAGGAUUUGAGUGUUUCGGAAACCACAAAUAAGUGCAAAUAACACACACCUACAUAAACCAACAUUAUACUUCCUUUAGUAUCGAAUAAAACAAAUUCAAAUCAGUCCCAUAUCUUCUCUCUUUGACAAGCCUCUGCUUUAUACUCAGUCAAAGAUAACCAGAUAAAUAACACAAUGU